Herpailurus yagouaroundi (jaguarundi) is the source of this 362-nucleotide long non-coding RNA. RefSeq lists it as uncharacterized. NCBI's taxonomy places the organism in Eukaryota, Metazoa, Chordata, Mammalia, Carnivora, Felidae. The transcript has 3 exons. The record is from RefSeq and is a predicted model, not a curated record.
UCCUUCACAUUCCUCAGAUGCUUCCUCUGGUCCCUGGACCCCACAGCCUCCCCUCACCUCCUGGAGUAGCUCAGCACAGUUGGCUUCAUCCAGUUCCCUGCGCAAAAGUGAAGGAAGACCCGUAGCAGGAAGUCGGCAUCUCUGUGUGGCUCAAAGGUGGAGGGAAUGAUGACAUAUUCCCCCGGAGGCAGCCGGAGAUGACUGCUCACCUCCCGCGAAUUAGUGAAGAUCUCUGAGAAGCCAUGGUCCUGAUACUUUAUGAAGAAGUCCUUCUUCAAGCGAGUAUCCUGGAUGUUCUGAAACUAUAUGUGCCUUGGAGAGAGAGACAGAGCAUAAGCAGGAGAGGGACACACAGAAUCCAA